GCGAAUUCAGCAACAAAGUCUGCUAACGCUUGCCCUUUGAUGGCCGCCCUUGCUUUGAACACAAGGUCAAAUUCACUUAGUUCCACUGCCCAUUUCAACAAUCUUCCCGAGGCAUCGGGCUUCUGGAGUACUUGCCUCAGGGAAAAAUUUGUAAGUACAUGGAUGGUAUGAGCUUGGAAGUAAGGUCUCAAUUUCCUAGAGGCCGUGAUUAAAGCCAAAGCAAGCUUCUCCAU
This 233-nucleotide long non-coding RNA is filed under the name Olea europaea (common olive). RNAcentral's name for it is "long non-coding RNA (OEUR_LNC009876)". Lineage: Eukaryota; Viridiplantae; Streptophyta; Magnoliopsida; Lamiales; Oleaceae. The record is from RNAcentral.